UACGUAGGGGGCAAGCGUUAUCCGGAAUCACUGGGCGUAAAGGGUGCGUAGGCGGCCAAUAAAGUCAGGGGUGAAAGGCUACGGCUUAACCGUAGUAAGCCUUUGAAACUUAAUGGCUUGAGUGCAGGAGAGGUAAGUGGAAUUCCUAGUGUAGCGGUGAAAUGCGUAGAUAUUAGGAGGAACACCAGUGGCGAAGGCGACUUACUGGACUGUAACUGACGCUGAGGCAC
Molecule: ribosomal RNA, 230 nt
Filed under: uncultured microorganism
Description: partial 16S ribosomal RNA
Rfam family: Bacterial small subunit ribosomal RNA
Source: RNAcentral